Molecule: transfer RNA, 73 nt
Filed under: Corynebacterium aurimucosum
Lineage: Bacteria; Bacillati; Actinomycetota; Actinomycetes; Mycobacteriales; Corynebacteriaceae
Description: tRNA-Trp
Rfam family: tRNA
About the family: Transfer RNA (tRNA) molecules are approximately 80 nucleotides in length. Their secondary structure includes four short double-helical elements and three loops (D, anti-codon, and T loops).
Source: RNAcentral
AUGGGCGUAGCUCAAUUGGGAGAGCAACGGUCUCCAAAGCCGUCGGUUACAGGUUCGAGUCCUGUCGCCUGUG